CCUACGGGCGGCAGCAGUGGGGAAUAUUGGACAAUGGGGGCAACCCUGAUCCAGCCAUGCCGCGUGUGUGAAGAAGGCCCUCGGGUUGUAAAGCACUUUCAGUGAGGAAGAACGCCUGGUGGUUAAUACCCAUCAGGAAAGACAUCACUCACAGAAGAAGCACCGGCUAACUCCGUGCCAGCAGCCGCGGUAAUACGGAGGGUGCGAGCGUUAAUCGGAAUUACUGGGCGUAAAGCGCGCGUAGGUGGCUUGAUAAGCCGGUUGUGAAAGCCCCGGGCUCAACCUGGGAACGGCAUCCGGAACUGGCGAGCUAGGGUGCAGGGGAGGAAGGGAGAAUUCCCGGUGUAGCGGGGCAAUGCGCAGAGGUCGGGAGGAAUACCAGUGGCGAAGGCGGCCUUCUGGACUGACAAUGACACUGAGGUGCGAAAGCGUGGGUAGCAAACAGGAUUAGAUACCCUGGUAGUC
Molecule: ribosomal RNA, 465 nt
Filed under: Vreelandella stevensii
Lineage: Bacteria; Pseudomonadati; Pseudomonadota; Gammaproteobacteria; Oceanospirillales; Halomonadaceae
Description: partial 16S ribosomal RNA
Rfam family: Bacterial small subunit ribosomal RNA
Source: RNAcentral